GACAACGCUGACCACUGCUUUAAGUGCUCAAGAGAAGGGUAAGCUACCAGCUCAACCACAACCUAACCCUCAAGUCUACGGCGGUAGCAAUGCAUCAUCUUCAACUUCGCAUAAAGAGCAAGCAAAGAGUAUAAUAACAUUGCGAAGUGGAAAGAUUAUUGACCGACCAGUCCCAGAACAAAUACAAGUCAUACCUGAUUUUGACCCUCCCAAGACAAAAGAAAAGGAUAAUGAAGAAACUGAAGCACCAACAUCUACUGAAAAAAAUUGAAUGUGUUGCCCAGAUAGACAACCCAAGAGGGGGGGUGAAUUGGGUUUUAAAAUAAUUUUACAAUUAAAACUUUUGUAGAUGACUAAUUAAUACUUUUGCAAGGUGAUUAAUUAGUUGCUAUGUGCUGUGAGUGAAAUGAGAAUGAG
This 417-nucleotide long non-coding RNA is filed under the name Phoenix dactylifera (date palm). RNAcentral describes it as "long non-coding RNA (PDAC_LNC022100)". The record is from RNAcentral. Lineage: Eukaryota; Viridiplantae; Streptophyta; Magnoliopsida; Arecales; Arecaceae.